Clupea harengus (Atlantic herring) is the source of this 376-nucleotide long non-coding RNA. NCBI's taxonomy places the organism in Eukaryota, Metazoa, Chordata, Actinopteri, Clupeiformes, Clupeidae. The record is from Ensembl.
GUGUGUGUGUGUGUGUGUGUGUGUGUGUGUGUGUGUGUGUGUGUGUGUGUGUGUGUGUGUGUGUGUGUGUGUGUGUAUCUAUGGCUCUAAGAAUAACUGUUGGUGCGGGAGCUCUGGGGUGAGUUCACUGCAGUGGUGAUGUCAUCGCUCACAGAGGUCUUGAUCGCGAUUGGUCCAGUCUGGUGUCGACAGGCCCCGGCAUAUGGUGGCAAGGCCUAUUCAUUGUCAGGAGCAGGCGAGUAGGAAGCCCCCCCCCCCAACACACACACACACACACACACAAAUCCAACAGUCACACAUGCUUGCACACAAACACACACAUAAAAGUCCACCCUCACCCCAAACACACUAACACACACAUAAAUCCAGAGCCACC